AGAGUUUGAUCCUGGCUCAGAUUGAACGCUGGCGGAAUGCUUUACACAUGCAAGUCGAACGGUAGAGGGGGCAACCCCUCGAGAGUGGCGAACGGGUGAGUAAUAUAUCGGAACGUGCCCAGUCGUGGGGGAUAACGUAGCGAAAGUUACGCUAAUACCGCAUACGAUCUACGGAUGAAAGCGGGGGACCGUAAGGCCUCGCGCGAUUGGAGCGGCCGAUAUCAGAUUAGGUAGUUGGUGGGGUAAAGGCUCACCAAGCCAACGAUCUGUAGCUGGUCUGAGAGGACGACCAGCCACACUGGAACUGAGACACGGUCCAGACUCCUACGGGAGGCAGCAGUGGGGAAUUUUGGACAAUGGACGCAAGUCUGAUCCAGCCAUUCCGCGUGCAGGAUGAAGGCCCUCGGGUUGUAAACUGCUUUUGUAUGGAACGAAAAGGUCUCUCUUAAUACAAGGGGCUCAUGACGGUACCGUAAGAAUAAGCACCGGCUAACUACGUGCCAGCAGCCGCGGUAAUACGUAGGGUGCAAGCGUUAAUCGGAAUUACUGGGCGUAAAGCGUGCGCAGGCGGUUAUGUAAGACAGAGGUGAAAUCCCCGGGCUCAACCUGGGAACUGCCUUUGUGACUGCAUAGCUAGAGUACGGUAGAGGGGGAUGGAAUUCCGCGUGUAGCAGUGAAAUGCGUAGAUAUGCGGAGGAACACCGAUGGCGAAGGCAAUCCCCUGGACCUGUACUGACGCUCAUGCACGAAAGCGUGGGGAGCAAACAGGAUUAGAUACCCUGGUAGUCCACGCCCUAAACGAUGUCAACUGGUUGUUGGGUCUUCACUGACUCAGUAACGAAGCUAACGCGUGAAGUUGACCGC
RNAcentral lists this ribosomal RNA (864 nucleotides) under uncultured bacterium. RNAcentral describes it as "bacterial SSU rRNA". It matches the Rfam family "Bacterial small subunit ribosomal RNA", at positions 8 to 872 of the family's 1533-position model. The record is from RNAcentral.